GAAAAACCCUCAGAAACCUCAAGGCCAAGAGGACGUGGUGGAGGCCAACUUGGGGGUUGCAGGACAUCACCCACCUACCCACGAGAUGAUCUAUUAAUAGCUCAGUGGUUCUCACACCUGGGCAGGCAUUGGCAUUACCUGAAGCUGAGAUGAAACCCAAAUGGCUGAGUCCCGCACCCACAGUGUCUGAUUCAGCGAGUCUGGGGCGGGGCCUGACUGAAUUUCCUGCAAUACAGAAAAAUCUCUCUGGCUGCUGCCAGGAGGCUGCUGUGUAGGAGACUGAGCAUGGAAGCCCCAGCCCAGCCCUGCCCAGUUAGGAAGCAACUAUUGUAUUCAGCAAACCCUGCUGGCUCUAACGAGAAGUAUCAUCCCGAGUGCAUCACCAUCACUUCUCACCUCCAUGGCCUCUCAUUAUGCACUCUCUGCCUCUACUCUUGCCUUCCUGGAGCCGUUCUCCAGCCGUUAGCCAAAUGGGUCUUUUCAAAGUGCUGCUUAUGGAUUAGUGCUUUGGGCAGCUGCACAGAUAACCCACCUUUUGAUCUGGGUCCGCUUGGCACAAGAUACAAUAAAUGUCAUGAUAAAUGUCAGCCAGGAUUACAAUGCUUCCUUCACAAACCUUAGCACAGACGGUUUCAAUAAAGAUUGCUUGAUUAACUUUUUUCUUCUAAUUCAAUGCCAUUUUAAUCAUGUGCCUACUUUUUGCUUAAAAGGCCUGUGAAUUUCAUUCUGACAAAUAAAAUUAUUUUCCAAAAAUGUACACAAUUGCUUUGGCGAUGUUCAAUUUUCAUUUCUUUGCUUGGUAACAGUGCUUAGCAUUUAGCUGAGACUUCUUUAUGGAAACUCUGCCUCCAGG
RNAcentral lists this long non-coding RNA (853 nucleotides) under Homo sapiens (human). RNAcentral describes it as "HSALNT0399200". The record is from RNAcentral. Lineage: Eukaryota; Metazoa; Chordata; Mammalia; Primates; Hominidae.